This 253-nucleotide ribosomal RNA is filed under the name uncultured bacterium. Its description in RNAcentral is "partial 16S ribosomal RNA". It matches the Rfam family "Bacterial small subunit ribosomal RNA", at positions 524 to 776 of the family's 1533-position model. The record is from RNAcentral.
UACGUAGGUGACAAGCGUUAUCCGGAAUUACUGGGCGUAAAGCGCACGCAGGCGGCUGCGUAAGUCUGACGUGAAAUCUCCCGGCUUAACCGGGAGCGGUCGUUGGAAACUACUUGGCUUGAGGCGAUGAGAGGGGUGUGGAAUUCCCGGUGUAGUGGUGGAAUGCGUAGAUAUCGGGAGGAACAUCAGUGGCGAAAGCGGCACCCUGGCAUUGGCCUGACGCUCAGGUGCGAAAGCGUGGGGAGCGAACGGG